UACAGAGGUCCCAAGCGUUGUUCGGAUUCAUUGGGCGUAAAGGGUGCGUAGGCGGCGCGGUAAGUCGGGUGUGAAAUCUCGGGGCUUAACUCCGAAACUGCAUUCGAUACUGCCGUGCUUGAGGACUGGAGAGGAGACUGGAAUUUACGGUGUAGCGGUGAAAUGCGUAGAUAUCGUAAGGAAGAACAGUGGCGAAGGCGGGUCUCUGGACAGUUCCUGACGCUGAGGCACGAAGGCCAGGGGAGCAAACAGG
Molecule: ribosomal RNA, 253 nt
Filed under: uncultured bacterium
Lineage: Bacteria
Description: partial 16S ribosomal RNA
Rfam family: Bacterial small subunit ribosomal RNA
Source: RNAcentral